AGUGAACGCUGGCGGUAGGCCUAACACAUGCCAGUCGAACGGCAGCACAGUAAGAGCUUGCUCUUACGGGUGGCGAGUGGCGGACGGGUGGGGAAUACAUCGGAAUCUACUUUUUCGUGGGGGAUAACGUAGGGAAACUUACGCUAAUACCGCAUACGACCUACGGGUGAAAGCAGGGGAUCUUCGGACCUUGCGCGAUUGAAUGAGCCGAUGUCGGAUUAGCUAGUUGGCGGGGUAAAGGCCCACCAAGGCGACGAUCCGUAGCUGGUCUGAGAGGCUGAUCAGCCACACUGGAACUGAGAGACGGUCCAGACUCCUACGGGAGGCAGCAGUGGGGAAUAUUGGACGAUGGGCGCAGGCCUGAUCCAGCCAUACCGCGUGGGUGAAGAAGGCCUUCGGGUUGUAAAGCCCUUUUGUUGGGAAAGAAAAGCAGCAGGUUAAUACCCCGCUGUUCUGACGGUACCCAAAGAAUAAGCACCGGCUAACUUCGUG
RNAcentral lists this ribosomal RNA (492 nucleotides) under uncultured bacterium. RNAcentral's name for it is "partial 16S ribosomal RNA". It matches the Rfam family "Bacterial small subunit ribosomal RNA", at positions 29 to 507 of the family's 1533-position model. The record is from RNAcentral.